This is a long non-coding RNA of Micropterus salmoides (largemouth bass), 2285 nucleotides long. RefSeq lists it as uncharacterized. The transcript has 4 exons. The record is from RefSeq and is a predicted model, not a curated record. Lineage: Eukaryota; Metazoa; Chordata; Actinopteri; Centrarchiformes; Centrarchidae.
GCCUAUAGCAAGCUGUCCGACAUUAAUAGGCCUACAUAUAAAACUGAAUGUGGUACAUUGUAACUUUUAAAAGUUAUAGUUGGCCUAUCUAGUAUCUAAUGUUGUAGAAAUUACUGAGUAAGACUUAACCUUCCUAUUACAAGGAGAAGAGACCAUCAAUGCCCACAUUAGUCUAUAUCACAGUCCCAACCACAGAUCUCCAAAAUCCAACAGGUGGUUACCAUGUAGCAUAUAGCCUAAUAUUCCAAAUCCUAAUGAAAACGUUUUUUUUUAACCAAUGCUUGCCAGUAGGUAACGUGGGUUUAUUUAUGCAUGAACCAGAGUGUGUGAGUCUGAGGAAUCUGUGGACAAACUGCAGGUUUAUAACUUCAGCGUCGUAAAAGGAUUCGCCAUCUUCCCGUUUUCACGGAGGACCUGAAUGCAGCACAAGAGGAAACGCUUCAUGGUGGGUUGGAGUGUGAAGCCGUGGCGGAGCUGCGGUACCAUUCUGCGCAACUAAACGAGAGGAAUCCUCCAGCCGGUGAUCUGGAGAACCCUGCCGUCUAUGCAUUCAAGUUGACAAACAAUCAGAUGCCACUGAAUCUUCUGAGGCCGACUUCUUCAGAACAACAGAGCAGACUCCUCAGAGAUCGUCCUGCUUCUAGACACAGGGCUUAGACGAACCAGAACCCUUACCUCUGAUGAACAAAGUUGGGAUGAAUUCUUCCCUGGUGGACUACACAGAUUCUGAUGAAUCUCAGAGUCCAAGCACAAAUUAUGACCAGUUUAAUUCAAGCUGCCAGGUCGCCGGACUUUCAAGAAAAGGAUGUGGGAGAAGAAAUUCUUGCAGUCAAGAAGCACAUGGUGUCCGUUAUCACUUCAUGCCAUGUUCUGGGAAAAACUGACUGUUAUGAGUGCCUUGAACUGAAGAAAGUAGCUCUUAAAAACAAAUCAUGGCUGGCCAUUAAAUUCUACAUUAAAAAUCGAAUCACAGCUCUCAAGGGCAAAGUUUAAAACUAUUCUGUUAGCACCUGUAAUGCUUGUUUUGUCACGUUUAAAUCAUACCGUCAUGUUCAUUUAAGUAAGACGUCUCAAAUGUGGAAUGUUGUCUACAUUACAUGGGUGGUACCCAGUCCUAAGAAAAGGUGAGAUGUUGCUUGUGAACAGAGCCUGUAAGCAUUCAAGGGAGUUGAGUUGCCUUAAGAUUCCAGCAGUUGAAAUUAAAAGUUUUCAUUCAGUCUAUUUGUUGUUUCUAUUUGUUGGGACUUGUGUCCUGUAAAAUGCUAACCUUAAUUUGCGUUACUAGGCUUCAUAUUGAAAUAUCCUGAAGAAAUAGAAGAGAACAUUUUCUGAUAAAGGGAGUGUGGAAACAGUUCACUAAUAAGAGGGACACUUAUGUUGCACUUAGCAACUUUAUCACAGCAUGAUGACUAAUAAUAUAAUAAUACUUUACAGGCCUAAUUAUUUAUUUGAACCUUUUCAACCUUUCCAGUAUAUAAUAUAAUUGUGUUGUACAAUUACAUAACAGAACCUGAAUUUUGGCAGAAAUUAUGGUCCAGCAAAUAUCUUGGCACAUGACAGCUGUAGGUGUUCAGUGACUCUCAAAGUAAGUUUAACCUGAAUGUGUGUCAAGUGGUACCCAGAAGACUGAAAAACCAGAUAGUGUGUAUAGUCUGACCCCAUUAAUAACUAAAUACCUGACAAGUCCCCAGGAAGUGGUUCCUAGUCAGAUCAUGGAACUACUUAGUCUGAUUGAUCAUUUGAUGUGACAUCUGUGUUUAUGCCCACUCCAGUAUACUUUUACUGAUUUUUUUUUUUACUGCUGUUCAACCUUCAGAAAGGGUGGUUCCCAGAAUGCAUGAUCCUGUCAGGUGGUCACAAAAUGCCACAAAGUCGAGGCUGUGUUUGUGAAUGUUACUUGCAUUUUGAUGAGCAGUUGACACCUUGCAUGGUAGCCUCUGCCAUCAGUGCAGGAAUGUGUGUGUGAAUGGGGUGAAUGUGACAUGUAGUGUAAAGAGCUUUAAGUGGUCGGAAGACUAGAAAGGCACUAUGUAAGUACAGUCCAUUUACCAUUUCAUUUCGUGAGUUCGGUGUCCCUAUUUGCUAUUGUACUCCAAGGGAGAAUUAAACGUCAUAGUGGUCAUUGAAAUGUCUGUGUUUGGCCUUUCUGUUAAAUUACUUUUACUUGCUAGCUUAAACAUGUGUACUUGUGUAAUACGCUAAUAUAUUCCUGUCUCUUAAUUUGUGUAAGAGCUCAAAUUACAUUAUCACAACUUUUGUCAGAAUAAAUGGAGAUCACCUCCAAA